This is an unclassified non-coding RNA of Callithrix jacchus (white-tufted-ear marmoset), 299 nucleotides long. It matches the Rfam family "Metazoan signal recognition particle RNA". From Rfam's summary of the family: The signal recognition particle (SRP) is a universally conserved ribonucleoprotein. It is involved in the co-translational targeting of proteins to membranes. The eukaryotic SRP consists of a 300-nucleotide 7S RNA and six proteins: SRPs 72, 68, 54, 19, 14, and 9. NCBI's taxonomy places the organism in Eukaryota, Metazoa, Chordata, Mammalia, Primates, Cebidae. The record is from Ensembl.
ACUGGUCAUGGUGUCUUGUGCCUGUAGUUCAGCUACUUGGGAGGCAGAGGUAGGAAGAUUGCUUAAGUUCAGGAGUUCUGGGCUGUAGUGCACUAUGCCAACUGGGUGUCUGCACCAAGUUCAGCAUCAAUACAGUGACCUCACAGGAGUGGGGAACCACCAGGUUGCCUAUGGAGGGGUGAAUCAGCCCAUAUUGGAAAUAGAGCAGAUCAAAAUUCCCAUGCUGAUCAGUAAUGGGAUGGCAACUGUGAAUAGCCAUUGUACUCCAGCCUGUGCAAUGUGGUAAGACCCUGUCUCUU